GCAAAACUCAAAAAAUAGAUCUCAGUUCGGACUGUAGGCUGCAACUCGCCUACACGAAGUUGGAAUUGCUAGUAAUCGUGGAUCAGCAUGCCACGGUGAAUACGUUCCCGGGUCUUGUACACACCGCCCGUCACACCAUGGGAGCUGGUAACACCCGAAGUCAGUAGUCUAACCGCAAGGAGGACGCUGCCGAAGGUGGGAUUAGCGACUGGGGUGAAGUCGUAACAAGGUACC
This 234-nucleotide ribosomal RNA is filed under the name uncultured bacterium. Its description in RNAcentral is "partial 16S ribosomal RNA". It matches the Rfam family "Bacterial small subunit ribosomal RNA", at positions 1267 to 1500 of the family's 1533-position model. The record is from RNAcentral.